This 809-nucleotide small RNA is filed under the name Schizosaccharomyces pombe (fission yeast). RNAcentral describes it as "small heterochromatic RNA precursor". The record is from RNAcentral. Lineage: Eukaryota; Fungi; Ascomycota; Schizosaccharomycetes; Schizosaccharomycetales; Schizosaccharomycetaceae.
AUUCCAUCGGUACUAUGGCCUGUUGAUUCGGCACCUUUGUCAUUUUAGCAACUUUUGUUUUCUUUUCUGUGUCGAUGUAGUUCUCUAUACCAUAUUCAUGUUCAUAUUCAUGUUCAUAUUCAUGUUCAUAUCAAUGUCCAUAUCAAUGUCCAUAUCAAUUUCCCAUGUUCCAUUACAUAUCCCGUGUUCUUUCCUUCUUCCAGCUUUUACAUGCUAGCCUUUUAUACAAUGAUUCCUCUCAUCUCGACUCGCUUGAUGAAUGGGCGUUUAGUUUUUGCAACAACAUAUGCGUUGGGUUAUCUCAUAUCGGGAAACACUUUCUGCCACUUUUAACUUGAACAAAGUUGGAGAAAUAAAGUGAUGGCAGAUAUUGCAAGUUGUUUAUAGUGUGCCUGUAGAAAUGUAAAAACGCUAUGUUUCGUGAAUGCCCAGCCUGUAAAUCGAAAUAAGAUUUCGUAUUUAUUAAGCAUUGGAAGAUCACAAUUGGAAAAAACACGAUACGGUUGGUCUCUUCACAGUCGUUCUCCAGUAAUCACAAACAUGAAACCUAAAUAUACGGUAACUUUGCACCUAUUAGGACAACGCCUCAAGUGACUGCAUUAAAGCAUAAUACCGAAGCACUGACAUAACAGAGAGGUUCAGAAAGGAAUUUAAAGAUUGACUUUUUCGACAAACUUCAUGUUACAAGUCUUAUCGUUUGUGUUUAUAAAUCAUCAGCCUCUCUCUAUAUCUCUAUAUCUCUAUAUCUCUAUAUAUCAGAUAUAAAGAUGCAAGUUUUGAAGUANAAUUCCGCACAAGGUCUAGUACAC